UCCGUUUUGUCAACGGCAGUCUCUCUAGAGUGCCCAACUUAAUGCUGGCAACUAAAGAUAAGGGUUGCGCUCGUUGCGGGACUUAACCCAACAUCUCACGACCCGAGCUGACGACAGCCAUGCAGCACCUUGCACUCUGUCUGGUUUUACCCAGAAGGCCCUAUCUCUAGGGUUGUCAGAGGCAUUCUAGCCCAGGUAAGGUGGGGAUGACGUUGAACGGUUGGUU
RNAcentral lists this unclassified non-coding RNA (226 nucleotides) under uncultured Acidobacteriota bacterium. RNAcentral's name for it is "uncultured Acidobacteria bacterium contains 16S-23S intergenic spacer region". The record is from RNAcentral. Lineage: Bacteria; Pseudomonadati; Acidobacteriota.